AUUGAGAACAAUUCAAAUCCUUUAACGAGGAUCUAGCGGAGGGCAAGUCUGGUGCCAGCAGCCGCGGUAAUUCCAGCUCCGCAGGUGUAUAUCUAUGCUGCUGCGGUUAAAAAGCUCGUAGUUGGAUCUGCGUGCUCGGAACUGGUUGGCUCACUGAGUUCAAACUGGUCUCCGGCGCUUUAUUGGCUGGUUUUCCCUUGAUGCUCUUAACCGGGUGUCUUGGGUGGCUAGCACGUUUACUUUGAAAAAAUUAGAGUGCUCAAUACAGGCGUAAAGCCUUGAAUAGUGGUGCAUGGAAUAAUAGAAUAGGACCUCGGCUCUAUUUUGUUGGUUUUCGGAACUCGAGGUAAUGAUUAAGAGGGACAGACGGGGGCAUUCGUAUUGCGACGUUAGAGGUGAAAUUCUUGGAUCGUCGCAAGACGGACGACUGCGAAAGCAUUUGCCAAGAAUGUUUUCAUUAAUCAAGAACGAAAGUUAGAGGUUCGAAGGCGAUCAGAUACCGCCCUAGUUCUAACCGUAAACGAUGCCAACUAGCGAUUCGCAGGCGUUAAACAACGACCUUGCGGGCAGCUUCCCGGAAACGAAAGUGUUCGGGUUCCGGGGGAAGUAUGGUUGCAAAGCUGAAACUUAAAGGAAUUGACGGAGGGGCACCACCAGGAGUGGAGCCUGCGGCUUAAUUUGACCCAACACGGGAAAACUCACCCGGCCCGGACACCGUAAGGAUUGACAGAUUGAGAGCUCUUUCUUGAUUCGGUGGGUGGUGGUGCAUGGCCGUUCUUAGUUGGUGGAGCGAUUUGUCUGGUUUAUUCCGAUAACGAACGAGACUCUGGCCUACUAAAUAGUGGGCGGAUUCUUUCUGUCCGCAACACUUCUUAGAGGGACAAGCGGUGUUCAGCCGCACGAGAUUGAGCAAUAACAGGUCUGUGAUGCCCUUAGAUGUCCGGGGCUGCACGCGCGCUACACUGAAGGAAUCAGCGUGCUUUCUGACCUUGCCCGAAAGGGCUGGGUAACCCGAUGAAAAUCCUUCGUGAUUGGGAUAGGGACUUGCAAUUAUUUCCCUUGAACGAGGAAUUCCCAGUAAGUGUGGGUCAUAAGCUCGCGUUGAUUACGUCCCUGCCCUUUGUACACACCGCCCGUCGCUGCCCGGAACUGAGCCGUUUCGAGAAGAACAGGGACCGUCGUUGAAGGGCCUUAACGGGCUUUUCUCUGAUAGAAACUGUU
Molecule: ribosomal RNA, 1221 nt
Filed under: metagenome
Description: SSU rRNA
Rfam family: Eukaryotic small subunit ribosomal RNA
Source: RNAcentral